GUGCCAGCAGCCGCGGUAAUACGUAGGGGGCUAGCGUUAUCCGGAUUUACUGGGCGUAAAGGGUGCGUAGGCGGUCUUUCAAGUCAGGAGUUAAAGGCUACGGCUCAACCGUAGUAAGCUCCUGAUACUGUCUGACUUGAGUGCAGGAGAGGAAAGCGGAAUUCCCAGUGUAGCGGUGAAAUGCGUAGAUAUUGGGAGGAACACCAGUAGCGAAGGCGGCCCUCUGGGCCGAGACCGACGCUGAGGCGCGAAAGCUGGGGGAGCGAACAGGAUUAGAUACCCUGGUAGUCCCAGCCGUAAACGAUGGACGCUAGGUGUGGGGGGACGAUCCCUCCGUGCCGCAGCCAACGCAUUAAGCGUCCCGCCUGGGGAGUACGGCCGCAAGGCUAAAACUCAAAGGAAUUGACGGGGACCCGCACAAGUAGCGGAGCAUGUGGUUUAAUUCGAAGCAACGCGAAGAACCUUACCUACACUUGACAUCCCUUGCAUUACUCUUAAUCGAGGAAAUCCCUUCGGGGACAAGGUGACAGGUGGUGCAUGGUUGUCGUCAGCUCGUGUCGUGAGAUGUUGGGUUAAGUCCCGCAACGAGCGCAACCCUUGUCGUUAGUUACUACCAUUAAGUUGAGGACUCUAGCGAGACUGCCUGGGUUAACCAGGAGGAAGGUGGGGAUGACGUCAAAUCAUCAUGCCCCUUAUGUGUAGGGCUACACACGUGCUACAAUGGCUGGUACAGAGAGAUGCAAUACCGCAAGGUGGAGCCAAACUUAAAAACCAGUCUCAGUUCGGAUUGUAGGCUGAAACUCGCCUACAUGAAGCUGGAGUAAGUAGUAAUCGCGAAUCAGAAUGUCGCGGUGAA
Molecule: ribosomal RNA, 856 nt
Filed under: uncultured bacterium
Lineage: Bacteria
Description: bacterial SSU rRNA
Rfam family: Bacterial small subunit ribosomal RNA
Source: RNAcentral